GGAGAGGUGGCCGAGUGGACGAAGGCGCUCGACUCGAAAUCGAGUAUCCCGCUAACCCCGGGAUCGUGGGUUCGAAUCCCACCCUCUCCGCCA
RNAcentral lists this transfer RNA (93 nucleotides) under Armatimonadota bacterium. Its description in RNAcentral is "Armatimonadetes bacterium tRNA-Ser". It matches the Rfam family "tRNA". Rfam says of the family: Transfer RNA (tRNA) molecules are approximately 80 nucleotides in length. Their secondary structure includes four short double-helical elements and three loops (D, anti-codon, and T loops). Further hydrogen bonds mediate the characteristic L-shaped molecular structure. tRNAs have two regions of fundamental functional importance: the anti-codon, which is responsible for specific mRNA codon recognition, and the 3' end, to which the tRNAs corresponding amino acid is attached (by aminoacyl-tRNA synthetases). tRNAs cope with the degeneracy of the genetic code in two manners: having more than one tRNA (with a specific anti-codon) for a particular amino acid; and 'wobble' base-pairing, i.e. permitting non-standard base-pairing at the 3rd anti-codon position. Lineage: Bacteria; Bacillati; Armatimonadota. The record is from RNAcentral.